UACGGGGGGGGCAAGCGUUGUUCGGAAUUACUGGGCGUAAAGGGCUCGUAGGCGGCCAACUAAGUCAGACGUGAAAUCCCUCGGCUUAACCGGGGAACUGCGUCUGAUACUGGAUGGCUGGAGUUUGGGAGAGGGAUGCGGAAUUCCAGGUGUAGCGGUGAAAUGCGUAGAUAUCUGGAGGAACACCGGUGGCGAAGGCGGCAUCCUGGACCGGCAUUGACGCUGAGGCGCGAAAGCUAGGGGAGCAAACGGG
This 253-nucleotide ribosomal RNA is filed under the name uncultured bacterium. RNAcentral describes it as "partial 16S ribosomal RNA". It matches the Rfam family "Bacterial small subunit ribosomal RNA", at positions 524 to 776 of the family's 1533-position model. The record is from RNAcentral.